GUGGGGAAUUUUGCGCAAUGGGCGAAAGCCUGACGCAGCAACGCCGCGUGCGGGAUGAAGGCCCUCGGGUUGUAAACCGCUUUCAGCAGGGACGAAAUUGACGGUACCUGCAGAAGAAGCCCCGGCCAACUACGUGCCAGCAGCCGCGGUGAUACGUAGGGGGCGAGCGUUGUCCGGAUUCAUUGGGCGUAAAGAGCUCGUAGGCGGUUCGGUAAGUCAGAUGUGAAAACUCCAGGCUCAACUUGGAGACGCCAUCUGAUACUGCCGUGACUAGAGUCCGGUAGAGGAGUGUGGAAUUCCCGGUGUAGCGGUGAAAUGCGCAGAUAUCGGGAGGAACACCAACGGCGAAGGCAGCACUCUGGGCCGGUACUGACGCUGAGGAGCGAAAGCGUGGGUAGCAAACAGGAUUAGAAACCCGAGUAGUCC
Molecule: ribosomal RNA, 426 nt
Filed under: uncultured bacterium
Lineage: Bacteria
Description: bacterial SSU rRNA
Rfam family: Bacterial small subunit ribosomal RNA
Source: RNAcentral